UAGAGUUUGAUCCUGGCUCAGGAUGAACGCUAGCGGCAGGCUUAACACAUGCAAGUCGAGGGGUAACAGGAAUAGCUUGCUAUUCGCUGACGACCGGCGCACGGGUGAGUAACGCGUAUAGAAUCUACCUUUUACUAAGGGAUAGCCUUUAGAAAUGAAGAUUAAUACCUUAUAGUAUUGAGGCUCGGCAUCGAGCCUUACUUAAAGAUUUAUUGGUAAAAGAUGACUAUGCGUUCUAUUAGCUAGAUGGUAAGGUAACGGCUUACCAUGGCUACGAUAGAUAGGGGUCCUGAGAGGGAGAUCCCCCACACUGGUACUGAGACACGGACCAGACUCCUACGGGAGGCAGCAGUGAGGAAUAUUGGGCAAUGGAGGCAACUCUGACCCAGCCAUGCCGCGUGCAGGAAGACGGCCCUAUGGGUUGUAAACUGCUUUUAUACAGGAAGAAACACUCCCUCGUGAGGGAAUUUGACGGUACUGUAAGAAUAAGCACCGGCUAACUCCGUGCCAGCAGCCGCGGUAAUACGGAGGGUGCAAGCGUUAUCCGGAAUCAUUGGGUUUAAAGGGUCCGCAGGCGGUCAAUUAAGUCAGAGGUGAAAUCCCAUAGCUCAACUAUGGAACUGCCUUUGAUACUGGUUGACUUGAGUUAUACGGAAGUAAAUAGAAUGUGUAGUGUAGCGGUGAAAUGCAUAGAUAUUACACAGAAUACCGAUUGCGAAGGCAGUCUACUACGUAUAUACUGACGCUCAUGGACGAAAGCGUGGGGAGCGAACAGGAUUAGAUACCCUGGUAGUCCACGCCGUAAACGAUGGACACUAGUUGUUGGGAUUUAUCUCAGUGACUAAGCGAAAGUGAUAAGUGUCCCACCUGGGGAGUACGGUCGCAAGAUUGAAACUCAAAGGAAUUGACGGGGGCCCGCACAAGCGGUGGAUUAUGUGGAUUAAUUCGAUGCAACGCGAAAAACCUUACCUGGCCUUGACAUGUACCGAAUUUAGCAGAGAUGCUUUAGUGCUCGUAAGAGAACGGUAACACAGGUGCUGCAUGGCUGUCGUCAGCUCGUGUCGUGAGAUGUUGGGUUAAGUCCCGCAACGAGCGCAACCCUUGCCAUUAAUUGCCAUCAUUUAGUUGGGCACUUUAAUGGGACUGCCGGUGACAAACCGGAGGAAGGUGGGGAUGACGUCAAGUCCUCAUGGCCCUUAUGGCCAGGGCUUCACACGUAAUACAAUGGACGGUACAGAGGGACGCCAACCCGCGAGGGGGAGCCAAUCCCAGAAAGCCGUUCGUAGUCCGGAUUGUUGUCUGCAACUCGACAACAUGAAGUCGGAAUCGCUAGUAAUCGCGGAUCAGAAUGUCGCGGUGAAUACGUUCCCGGGCCUUGUACACACCGCCCGUCACACCAUGGGAGUGGGUUUUACCAGAAGUAGUUAGUCUGACCGCAAGGGGGACGAUUACCACGGUAGGAUUCAUGACUGGGGUGAAGUCGUAACAAGGUAACCA
Molecule: ribosomal RNA, 1497 nt
Filed under: uncultured bacterium
Lineage: Bacteria
Description: partial 16S ribosomal RNA
Rfam family: Bacterial small subunit ribosomal RNA
Source: RNAcentral